GACGAACGCUGGCGGCGUGCUUAACACAUGCAAGUCGAACGGAAAGGCCCUGCUUUUGUGGGGUGCUCGAGUGGCGAACGGGUGAGUAACACGUGAGUAACCUGCCCUUGACUUUGGGAUAACUUCAGGAAACUGGGGCUAAUACCGGAUAGGAGCUCCUGCUGCAUGGUGGGGGUUGGAAAGUUUCGGCGGUUGGGGAUGGACUCGCGGCUUAUCAGCUUGUUGGUGGGGUAGUGGCUUACCAAGGCUUUGACGGGUAGCCGGCCUGAGAGGGUGACGGGCCACAUUGGGACUGAGAUACGGCCCAGACUCCUACGGGAGGCAGCAGUGGGGAAUAUUGCACAAUGGGCGGGAGCCUGAUGCAGCAACGCCGCGUGCGGGAUGACGGCCUUCGGGUUGUAAACCGCUUUCGCCUGUGACGAAGCGUGAGUGACGGUAAUGGGUAAAGAAGCACCGGCUAACUACGUG
This 468-nucleotide ribosomal RNA is filed under the name uncultured bacterium. RNAcentral describes it as "partial 16S ribosomal RNA". It matches the Rfam family "Bacterial small subunit ribosomal RNA", at positions 28 to 507 of the family's 1533-position model. The record is from RNAcentral.